This 252-nucleotide ribosomal RNA is filed under the name uncultured bacterium. RNAcentral's name for it is "partial 16S ribosomal RNA". It matches the Rfam family "Bacterial small subunit ribosomal RNA", at positions 524 to 775 of the family's 1533-position model. The record is from RNAcentral.
GACGAACCGUGCGAACGUUGUUCGGAAUCACUGGGCUUAAAGGGCGCGUAGGCGGGUCACCAAGUCCGGGGUGAAAUCUUUCGGCUUAACCGGAAAAUAGCCUUGGAUACUGGUGGUCUCGAGCGAGGUAGGGGCAGCUGGAACUUCCGGUGGAGCGGUGAAAUGCGUUGAUAUCGGAAGGAACGCCGGUGGCGAAAGCGAGCUGCUGGACCUCUUCUGACGCUGAGGCGCGAAAGCCAGGGGAGCAAACGG